CUCCUUACCAAACUGCAACUAAAAGUCAGUCUUUUGCUCUACCUAUGAUUAUCGUUUCUGAUUUCUGCAAUUCACAGUUUCUCUGUAUUUAUCACUCAUCCAUUCACAUUCAUUCAAUUACGAUAUUGACUCCAAUCUUCAUAAGGAUGCUAUCCUUUCACCUCCCUUCGUUCUCCUCUUAUAUAAACCCUUCAUUGAAGCUCACAUUCAACCAUAUUCUACAACCUCUGUUCAACUAUAUUAAUCCAUGGCCAUGAAAUCGGUUCAGAACUCUGGCAAGUCUCGAGUCGGAGCAAACGAAGCGCUGAACGAGAUUAGGGAAAGAAUAUCAGACUAUAAAUCUGAGAAUAUGAAACAUGACGAAAACAUAUUGAAUGUAUUUGUAUUUUAUUCUUGGAUCUGAUAUGAUUUAUUGUGCCUCUUCAUUAGCAGAUAUUUGGCAGAUAACAAAGCCAUCGAGCUGGAUCCUACACAUAGCCAAGGCCGUCUCUAUAUGGCGUUAUGUUAACGGAAUCUCAAGUUUGAUGAAUAGUUCAAGCUGAUGUCAUGGCUGGACUUAAGGGCAAGUUGGAACGACUCUUAUAGCUCUUGGAGUAGGUGCUAGGGCGAACACUCCGCUAAGAGGAACCAAGAAGCUACUGUGUACCCCAAGGUUUUCCUCCUUUCUCUCUGGCACCAACUUUAGGUUUCAGAUUAAUUCGGAAGAUUUUGAGUGUGUUUCUCAGUUUCUCUUCUCUGUUAAUGAUGUCUAUCUGGAGAAUUGCUUUGGAAAUUAAUAAUACGUGCAGGUCAUGCUGGUAAGUUGGUCGCUUUGGUUCAUAUGAAUAAUCUUCACUCAGUAAUGUAUAUGUUCCCAAAGAGAGGGUGACAAUCUUCAUCAAAGUUAUGGAAUCAUUGAGUUCCUUAGUGAGGAAGACGCUGACUAUACAAUUAAGGUUCUUAACAUGAUUAAGCUCCAUGGAAAGUCUAUACGUGUUAACAAGUAGGCGUCUCAAGAUAAGAAGAUCAUCGAUGUUGGUGCUAACCUUUGGAAACAGUUGAAACCAUGGUUGAUGUUUACGCUUCUGCCAAAUGAUGUACAUUAGAAGAUCUUCAUAAGAGAAAUAGAACAAAAUGGGUGUGGAUUCUGAGCUCUACGAAUCGGAAUCGGGUUGUUCGUGAUAAGUCUGAAAUCAACAAGAAGCGUAGAGACAGCUGUCGGAGUUGGUCAUGUUAAUUUAUUUUGAUGCCAAGGCCAAUAGUUGCGUAUUUUAACAGAGGUCAGCAAGUGAUCACUCG
Long non-coding RNA from Raphanus sativus (radish), 1278 nucleotides. RefSeq lists it as uncharacterized. The transcript has 5 exons. The record is from RefSeq and is a predicted model, not a curated record. NCBI's taxonomy places the organism in Eukaryota, Viridiplantae, Streptophyta, Magnoliopsida, Brassicales, Brassicaceae.